This 760-nucleotide ribosomal RNA is filed under the name uncultured archaeon. RNAcentral describes it as "bacterial SSU rRNA". It matches the Rfam family "Archaeal small subunit ribosomal RNA", at positions 152 to 902 of the family's 1478-position model. The record is from RNAcentral.
CCUCAUAAUUGAAAAUGCUUGGAACGGUUUUUCAAUAAAAGAACAUUUCAAACGGGAAAUGUAUCGCCGCAGGAUAGGAUCGCGUCCGAUUAUGGCAGUUGGUGAGGUAAUGGCUCACCAAACCUAUUAUCGGUAAGGGCCGUGAGAGCGGAAGCCCUGAGAUGGGUACUGAGACAAUGACCCAGGUCUUACGAGACGCAGCAGGCGCGAAACCUUCACAAUGCACGAAAGUGAGAUGAGGUUACCCGGAGUGCUACAAAGUAGCUGUGGCAGGUGAGUAAGAUUCCCUGCUAGGAAGGAGAGGGCAAGGCUGGUGCCAGCCGCCGCGGUAAAACCAGCUCUUCAAGUGGUCGGGAUUAUUAUUGGGCUUAAAGUGUUCGUAGCCUGUUUAGUAAGUUCCUGGUUAAAUCGGAUAGCUUAACUAUCUGUCUGCUAGGAAUACUACUAUACUAGGGGGCGGGAGAGGUCUGAGGUACUCCAGGGGUAGCGGUGAAAUGCUAUAAUCCUUGGGGGACCACCAGUGGCGAAGGCGUCAGACUGGAACGCGCCCGACGGUGAGGGACGAAAGCCAGGGGAGCGAACCGGAUUAGAUACCCGGGUAGUCCUGGCCGUAAACGAUGCGUGCUAGGUGUUGGUAUAGCUAUGAGCCGUAUCAGUGCCGUAGGAAAACCGAUAAGCGCGCCGCCUGGGGAGUACGGUCGCAAGGCUGAAACUUAAAGGAAUUGGCGGGCGAGCACCACAAGGGGUGAAGCCUGCGGUU